AUUGAACGCUGGCGGCAUGCUUUACACAUGCAAGUCGAACGGCAGCACGGGGGCAACCCUGGUGGCGAGUGGCGAACGGGUGAGUAAUAUAUCGGAACGUACCCGGAAAUGGGGGAUAACGUAGCGAAAGUUACGCUAAUACCGCAUAUGCCCUAAGGGGGAAAGCGGGGGAUUCGCAAGAACCUCGCGUUUUCGGAGCGGCCGAUAUCGGAUUAGCUAGUAGGUGAGGUAAAGGCUCACCUAGGCGACGAUCCGUAGCUGGUCUGAGAGGACGACCAGCCACACUGGAACUGAGACACGGUCCAGACUCCUACGGGAGGCAGCAGUGGGGAAUUUUGGACAAUGGGCGCAAGCCUGAUCCAGCCAUGCCGCGUGAGUGAAGAAGGCCUUCGGGUUGUAAAGCUCUUUCAGUUGAGAAG
This 419-nucleotide ribosomal RNA is filed under the name uncultured bacterium. RNAcentral describes it as "bacterial SSU rRNA". It matches the Rfam family "Bacterial small subunit ribosomal RNA", at positions 30 to 447 of the family's 1533-position model. The record is from RNAcentral.